GCCCUGCCCACCAGGUGAGGAGCUAUUGGCAGUUGGUGACUACUGGGGGAAAGGGAGUUCAUUUUCUUCAGGGCUUUGGCCUCUGGUGGGUGGCCGAUGCUCUACACCUAUGCAGGAAAACCAAAGGUUUUAUGGUGUCGCAGUGAUUUGAGAGAUGAGGUGUUUUCAUAGUCACAUGGAAUUGGAGUAACCCUUAGAGGAACUGCUGCUCUACAUAUGGAGCAUGGAGGAUGAGCUCCCAAACUCUCAGCAUGAUCUAAAGAUGGACAGAGCAAACCUGUCUCUGAGAAAAUAAGCAUCAGGGUUGCUCUGGAUUAUAUGUGGGCAUGGGCAUGGGUAUGUGCUACACUUACUGCAUACAGGGAGAUGAGUCCACUGUGCUCAUCUAAAGACGUGUUUAGUCAACAGAGUUUGCUUUCCUUGAGAUCUGGUUAACAUUCCAAAUAAUAAAAUGUCAUGCGCUCGGUAAACAA
Molecule: long non-coding RNA, 473 nt
Organism: Peromyscus eremicus (cactus mouse)
Lineage: Eukaryota; Metazoa; Chordata; Mammalia; Rodentia; Cricetidae
Exons: 3
Source: RefSeq, a predicted model, not a curated record